GUCCACGCCCUAAACUAUGUCAACUAGUUGUCGGGGAAGCAAUUCCUUGGUAACGAAGCUAACGCGUGAAGUUGACCGCCUGGGGAGUACGGUCGCAAGAUUAAAACUCAAAGGAAUUGACGGUGGCCCGCACAAGCGGUGGAUGAUGUGGAUUAAUUCGAUGCAACGCGAAAACCUUACCUACCCUUGACAUGGCAGGAAGCCCGAUGAGAGUCGGGUGUGCUCGAAAGAGAGCCUGCACACAGGUGCUGCAUGGCUGUCGU
RNAcentral lists this ribosomal RNA (263 nucleotides) under uncultured bacterium. Its description in RNAcentral is "partial 16S ribosomal RNA". It matches the Rfam family "Bacterial small subunit ribosomal RNA", at positions 793 to 1055 of the family's 1533-position model. The record is from RNAcentral.